GUAACCUGCAAUUAGUAAUGGACUUUUAUUUUUGCGGGCCCACUUCCUGUUUGCCCCAAACUCCGCUAGCUUAUUUAAAGCCACGCCUCCAGCGCGCAGUUUAAAGAUCCUCACCUGUUUCCACUGUGGCUGUGGCUUGUUGUUGGCGUCUUCUUCACGGAGUCAUCAAAAUCUUUAAGCCCACUGAUUUGAUUGCCUGAAUUAUUGGCGGUGUUACCUGGAUGUCGCCGGGGUUCUGGCACAGCUGAUUGUGGCUGGGCGUGCCCACUCUCUUGAUAAGGUCGGGUUUUUUUUUUCCGGUUGGAUCAGAUCCUCAUCAGGAUUUGAAGAUGGCGAGCUAAGGAAAAGAACUCUGAACUUAAUGAUUUUGCAAUUAAUUUAUUCUGGGUCAAUUGUCUUGUCUCAUUGUGUUGUUGUAAUUGUUGUUUUAUUCAAAUCACUUAAUAUAUAUUCACCAAAACUAAAAACACUGCCUCCUGUUUUCUCCACACCUCGGGCUCCUAAAAGAACACUCUUCUGAUGCUGCUUUAGUAGCCGCAGUUAGCUGCCUAGCCCAUAACUGUUACAUUGUUGGCGAGCUAGCCAGGAGCCUGAUACUGUGAAUGUUUUGGUGGAUGUGUUUUGUGGUUUGUAUUGAAAUAUGGAUUUCUUUGACCAAAUUGGUAUCAAUGUUGCAAAUUCUGUCAUCAUUAGUGGUGUAACGAACACUCAAGCAGAUGAUGAGAUCAUCAAUUAUUUACGUGGUUAUGGUGGAAUUAAGGUUUUUACUGUUACUGCACGUGAGAAUCCAUUUUAUAAAAACCUGGCCGUUGAAUUCAGUAAUUCUGCAGAUUUGGAAAAGCUAAAAUCGCUUUUGCCAUACGUUUAUCCAUCUCAGGUUACAGAAGAUGUUAUAUUUGUUGUUAAAUUACUUUCAAGAGAGUGCCCUGCCACAGCCACAGUGGACACAACCUUACCUCCCGAUUACCUUCAUGAACUGAAACGUAUUUCCCAGCAGAGUGGACAAUCAUUUGAUGAUGUUUUGA
Molecule: long non-coding RNA, 1025 nt
Organism: Gambusia affinis (western mosquitofish)
Lineage: Eukaryota; Metazoa; Chordata; Actinopteri; Cyprinodontiformes; Poeciliidae
Exons: 3
Source: RefSeq, a predicted model, not a curated record